CUGUUGAUAUUGUUACCUUUAAUACCGUCAUCCAUUCCUGUUGUCACUUGAAUACACUUGAUUAUGCCUUUUCGUUGCUUGCUGGAAUCAUCAAGAGUGGUUGGGUACCCGAUGUCUUUACCUACAACACUCUCAUCAAGGGCCUUCUAUCUCAAGACAAGCCUUUGGAGGCUGGGGAUUUGUUUAAGAAGCUUAUCACAUUUCAAGAAAUUCAGCCCAAUGUAGUUAUGUAUAACACCAUCAUUGAUGGUCUCUGCAAAACUUCAAAUACCUCCAUGGCUCUCAAGUUAUUAAGAAAGAUGGAGGAGAUAGGUUGUAACCCCGAUGCGGUAACUUAUAACUCCAUUAUUGAUUCUUUGUGCAAAGAGAGACGAGUCGAUCAAGCAUUGGUUCUUGUGUCUGAAAUGACCGGCAAAGGCAUACCACCCAAUGUUAUAACAUAUAACACGCUACUUCAAGGCCUUUGCAGCUCCGGCCGAUGGGAGGACACUGAGUGUUUGUUAACUGAGAUGGGUGUUAGGAAGAUCUCUUCAGAUUUGCACACCUAUAAUAUAUUAGUCGAUGCAUACUGCAAAGAAGGGAGGACAACAUAUGCAGAAGAUGUGAUUGAAAUUAUGAUCCAGAAAGGUGUGCCUCCUGAUUCAAUCACAUACAAUGCACUGAUGGAUGGUUAUUGUUUAACAGGCAAAAUGGACAGGGCACUAGAGGUGUUGAAUUACAUGAGGAGUAAUGAGAUAUGGCCAGACUGUUAUAGCUAUACCAUUCUGAUAAAUGGCUAUUGUAAGAGGCAGGAACUAGACAAAGCCAUCAGUCUCCUCAGACAAAUGUCUGCUGAAGGUCUGAAACCUGUAGUUGAAACCUACAAUACACUGAUGCAUGGUCUCUUUCAGAUGGGCAGACAUAAUGAGGUGGACAACCUUUUCCAUGAAAUGCUAAAAGAAGGUAAUAAACCAAAUAUUGUGACAUGUCGAAUUUUGUUGGAUGGCCUUUGCAAGAACCGAUACAUGGAUGAAGCAAUUUCCUUCUUUCGAGUGAAUGAAUGUAAAGGUAUAGUUCAUGAUAUUCAAAUACAUAAUAUCCUAAUUGAUGGUCUCUGCAAGAACAGAAAACUUGACGAGGCCAGAAAUAUUUUUGAUAAGCUUGCUUCGAGUGGUCUGCAACCCAAUGUCAUGACACACAAUAUAAUGAUCAGAGGACUGUGUCAAGAAGGGUUAUUUGAGGAAGCAAAGGAAUUACUUUCUAAAAUGGAAACAAGCAUUUGUUUGCCUGAUGAUGUGACCUAUAAUAAGAUCAUCCGUGGAAGUCUUUUGAAUAAAAGAUAUGAAGAAGCAGCGGCUCGUAAAUUCUCAGAAGAUGCAUCCACCACAUCCAUGGUACUAGACCUAUUAUCUAAAGAACAGGACCCCUCCGUUCUUGCUUUCUGCAAAUGGUUUUUGCAAUAGGUACUGAAGUUUAUGGUUCAUUGUUAUGUAUUGUAUUGUCAUCUUUUAACUUCCUUAAGUUUUCUGCUGUAGUAAUAUGUUUUACUGAGCAAAGAAUUACUCUAAUUAGCAAUGUAAGGGGUUGCAUCAGUUUGUUAAGAGCUAAUAGACAAUAUAUUUGGGAUGGUAAGACUAUGUCUUCUAUUUGUAUUGAGUACGGUCUAUGUUCAAGUUGUCAUUCAGAAUUGAAACUUUGCAUCUCGAUGCCUCUCAUAUACAGAAAAAGAAAUCAGCAUUUGAAAAUAAUAAAAGAAGCCUAUGUAUUCAGAUAACUUUAUUCUGGAUAUACUCUCUAGCCCAUAUUUUGGCUUUCACAAACAAGCUCAUUUUUGAUAACAUAUUGGCAUUUUUCACCAUGGUGAGAGGGUAUCCAUUUAACAGUAAUAACAAGGUAACCACUAGAUUGGUGACAGGUUAGGUCCAGUUAUUGUAAGUUCAUCACCAUAUUUGAUUGAUAUUUACUGUUAUUUCCUAUGAUUGUGGCAAUUUGCUUCUCUUGCUCUACUUCAUGCUGGUCUUGCCUAUCACUGCGGAAAGUCAGCAGUUGCUGUUGGCCUCGUAUUGUUGCUGAAGUCGGCAUCUAUUCGGAUAUCUAAGAAUCUAAGGUUGUGUUCACUUGGAGUGAAUGGAAUGGGGGGAGAAUGAAAUGAAUUUUGUACUCAAAAAUGGUGUUGAUCAAAGAAAAUGUAUACAAUUUUCAUUCCUUCAAUCAUUUCAUCCCUACUAUUUUAACUAAAAUUCUAUCCUACAUGUUUUGGAAGGAAUGCUCAUUCCAUCUCUACAUCAUAUUUCUUUACAAUCUUUAUCACAAAAAAAUUGAACUCAUUCAUAUUUAGUCACUAUUAGCUCAUACUUUCUUCUUUCUCUACAAAAUUUCUAUAUAAUUUUUCAUUCCAUUCUCCCCUCAUUCCAUUCCAUCCAAGUGAACACAGCCUAAGGGUGUGUGGGGAUUGUCAUAUUGCAAUGACAUAUUUAAAAAAAGGUUUUUGAGAGUCAUAAUAUAUUAAGGGACUCAAAACUGUUCCCAGCAUUUCAAUGAAGAAAAAUGUUCUUGUGGUGAUUACUAGUACGAAGUUCUUAUAAUGUAUUUCCUCUCCAAUUUAUAUCUUGGUCAAGAGAAUGGAGGGAUCCAUUCCUUAACUCAUUGGUGUAUGAUAUAGACAUUGCAAAAUCAAACUCUGCUUGCACCCAUCCCGCUUUAACGUGAAGACGUAAGAUCACAAUCUUCCUGCUUUGUUAUGGCCCCUGCAGCUAAAUGUGUAUUCAGGUUAAAUCUGAAGGCACUGGAUGCCUCCCAUGACAGUUGAACAGGAGCGUAAUGUACAAUGGCACUGAGUUACAUUGAAGGUAUGUCAAAACUUUUUUCUUUUGACAAUUACAUAGCCCAGUAGAAAUAGUGUGUAGUGCAAAACUAAUGAAAAUGCGAUUGAUAAGUAAACAGAAUGGAAGGCAAAUUCAGUUUUCUUGUACUGAAUUUUGGUUCUUAUCAUCAUAUACCAGAGUAAUAUGCGACAAAAGCAAAUCAUUUGAUCCGUAAAUAUUUCUUAAAUAUCGGCUCUUGGAGUGUUUAUCUCAUCCUAUCAAUUUCCAGUGCAAUAUUAUUACCGUAUUGAAGCAAUGACUGAUAUAUCUUGACAUUUAAAUGCCAUAAUCGCUGAACUGACAGAUCAUUUCAUAAUCUGUGCACCACAAUUCCGAAUUAAUUUACCCAGCUAAUAGCGAAUGUGCUAUUGCUUGAAGAAAUAUCACAGACUUAAAAGCAUAUUUCAUGUUUUUUAGAAUAAAAAAUUAAAGUUUAGUAGAAAAAACAUGCACACAUCAGCAUAUAUAAAGCAUUUCAAGUUCACUUAUAUAAGAAAAUAUUUCAAAUUUAAUGGAGUUUUUAAUUGCUGACAAGGACAAGUAGUACAACAAUACACAAUUCACACAGUCUUCAGAAACAGCAACAACAUAAAAUGCAAACAACACUUUGUAGUUUGUAGUACCAAAUUCUUCCAAAUGCCAGCUUUGCUUUCCAGGCACAUAGUCCUUACACCCUGCUCCCGAGUUUUAAGUAGGGAGGAAAGCAAGUGAAGAGGAAGUAAAAUUAUCUAACUUUCACUCCUAUUCGUGCUCCCGAGUUUUUUAAAGGGACGAAAGCAAGUGAAAGUGAGUGCAAAUAUAGCAUAUUUUCACUCCAAAAGUGGGAUGAAAGUGAAAGCAACUUGCUUUCACUUACAUUCACUUGCUUUCCCUCCUAAAAAAAACUCGGGAGCAAGACCUUAGAGUCGCUAGCUGACCAGGAUCUGCAGAGAGGAAUAUUUUUUGGAUUGACGCGGACUUUCACUCCUCCUGAAACCAAAUAAUUGUUGCAAGGAUCUACUGUAACAGUUUUAGGCCUUAUGGAUACAUUUUUCAGCCGUUGCAACAGGUGAAAUAUGGUGUAGUGUGUAUUUACAAGUACACACUUUACAUUUAACUCUUUUAAUUAUUUCCAUAUAAAAGUGUAAAUUGAUUCUAUGUAUAUUAUUUUACUUAUUGGUUUGAAACUCUUCAAAUAUUUUUUAAUAAAUAAUUGUUAAAUAUUAACAUAUAUUUAUAUUUUAAUAUUUAGAUUACAAGUUAAAUGUCAAAUGUAAGGAUAUAUCAAAUUUAAACAAGUCAAAACUCGUUUCAAAAUUUAUUAGUUACAAAUAAAAUAUGUUGUUAUUAUAGGUAUGCAAAAUUCAUACUCAAUUAGAUCGACUAAUCACGAAAUUUAGAUCAAUUUAAAAUGACAUAAUUCGAGUUGUCAUUUUAAAUUUUCAACUUUAUGUUAGUAUGAUUAAUGCUACGUAUCCAAAUCUUCUCGCAAAAUUACGCAAAUAAAAUAUUUUAAUUGGAUGGUUUAUGUGCAUACAAAAGUCAUGUUAUUAGAAAAUUUUGAGAAUAAUUUUUGAGUAUUUACUAUUUUUCUACUAGUAUUUAAUGUGUUGGAAAAACACAAAUCCAAGGUGUAUUUAAACAUUUCAUUUGAUGAAAUCUAGAAUUUAAAUGAAAUUGAAGUGUAAAAAAUAUUACAAACUCAAUGAAAGAUUUAAUUGCCAUGGAGUCGUGGAUACACUUCUUGAUAAUAGAAUCCGUGUAUAAAUAUAACAGUUCACAAUUCACACAAACUUGAGAAAUAGCAGCAACAUAAAAUGAAAACAAACAAACAACGAUAAUUUGUUGCAUGAUCUUAACAAACAAAACAUGAAUGGACAAUCAAAAUGAACACUUCCAAGCCUGAACAAAGGCAUGCACAAUCACAAUCUCCAACAUAUAAUCAAUUCAGAACAAAAUCUUAUUCCACACUAAAUUAUAACGAGUAGUAGGUGAUUCUUCCGAAUAUACGGUACUAAAUUAUAACGAGUAGUAGGUGAAAGAAAUUUGUGAGUCCUCGCUAACAAACUAGGACCGAGAGGAAUAAUUUUUGGAUGUCUUUCUCCCCUCCUGCAGCAAAUAUAGCAAGUAGGAGGGUAAAUACGAGGGAGGAUGAAACGAAUAAAUAAACACAAGAGAUGAAAGAGUAUCACCGUGUAAAAAGACUGCGGAACCAACUAUACAGAACUACAACUUACUGUUUGAUAGUUGCUCCAAUUAUUCUAUAGAUACUUCUCUAAUAUACAUGCCCUUGAUGACUUCCGGAUCAUCUCCCAGCAAACUUGUUUCACCAGCGUACCACCCCCCACGUUGCAUUAAGGCUGAUCUAUGACUCCAAUUAUACACGGAAGUAAUACAUUUUUCAGAUAAAGAAGCAGUACGUGACCUUAUGGGUUGUUUCGAGGUAAUUGUUUGAAACAUGCUCUUUGACAUGUGGAAAUCUCGCAGCUUCACAUAUCAUUAUGGCCAACUUUAUAAUAUGAUUAGCGGUUUCUCUCUCGUUCUCACCAAAUGAGGACUUGGUGAGAUACUCGACUGCUUCUGUGAAGGCUAGUCUGUUCAACUUCACUUCUGCCAAACGAUCCUUCACAGCUUUGAUUUCAGCAUCUGCUCUAACACUCUGCAUCAUGAAAUUAAAGACAUUAUACUUUUCUUUAAGCUCUUUAUAGAACUUAGCCUGCUUCUCUUCGUUCACCGCUUUAUGAUAUUGUUCUUUCAGUUUAGUUUUUUUUGAAAAAAAACCUUCCCGUGUUUCGUCAUUGGUGGGGUUCGUUUCUGGUGGUCCAUCAACUAUAUCAAAAUUUUUUUUUAGCAUUUUCUUCAGCUUGAACAGGGCUUCAUGUUCCUCUCUCCAGUUUUCUGUUUCCUUUACCCCAUCAGUAUCCAUUUUUCCAGCAGUCAAGCUACGCAAGAUGGCGACUUUCUUCUUGAACACCUUUCCCCACAAAAUUAGCGAUUCUUGGGAGAAGGGUUUCCUAUAUAAAGUACAAAAAUUGUUUACAUAAAAAUAAAGUAAUCAAAAUUUUGGUUAAUAAAAAAACCGUGAGAGUACCAUCACAGUUUAAGAACAAAACUCAAAGUAGUACCUCGGGCUGUCAUGUAUUUUCUGCAGCUUUUUAAUUAGCUUUUCAGCAAGGAUAUGAUCCGCUUGCGGCUUUUUUAAAUGAUUCAAAAAAUCUCGCGCUGCUUUGUUGUCAUCACCCUCAAGUUCUGUUUCUACAUGCUCACGGGUAAUUUCGUUUGGCACCAUUUUUAACAACGUGCUAACUCUUUUGAAAUCUCCAUUUUCCUCCGGGUUUGAAUGAUACCUUUCUAUAUUCAAUUUUAAUUCCGUCAAUUUUUCUUGGGCGUAUUUUAUGUUUCUCCCUUGUUCUCGCUUUGCUAUUCCUUGAAAGUUAUCCAAUCUCUGUAUCAAAUUCUCAUAAAGGUUUGACUCUCGCGCAGAUUCAUGAAAUGACGGAUCAUAUUUGCCAAACAAGUUAGUGUAUGAUGUACCCAGUGUAACCUUCUUUAGCGAGUCUGCAAUACAAAAACAAAAAGUCCGGGAUUAAAGAGAUGAAAAUCACGACGACACAAAAUCAAAUCUGAACGAAAACUGUACCCGGUGUCAGGAGCCUGACAGACGCAGCAACUUUCUUAUGGUUUUUCCCAUCUAGAACAAUCCAGUUUUCAGCACUCACCUUUCCAUCUUUUUCCUUAUAUUUACCCUUGUACCCGACUAAGUAGAGAUUAUUUUUCUUUAUCAAAAUGUCCAAAUCGCGAUCGUCAUGCUUUAACCUUAAUUGGAAAAGCCAAUCCGCUUUCCCAUUCUUAUCCGUCAACUCAUCUUUCUUAUAUGUUCGCCGAACUCUCUUCAUGUCAGUGUCAGGGGCCUUACCUCCAAGGAGCUGUGACUCGAAACAUUUUUCAAUUUUCGGUUUCAAGUCUAUAUCAAGAAACUCUUCAUGAAAGCCCACGUCAUCAAGGCUUUUAAAAUCUCUCUUUACAUCACUUAGCGGAAAUUUCUUAAUUAAGCUUCCGAUGAACUCUUCGUACUCAUCUCCGUCUUCGUUAUCAAGGUAUAGAGUAAGCGGUUCAGAUGAAAACUCAUUGUGCUUAGUAGUAUUUGCCAUAUAAGCUUAAAGAGUUAAAGAUAUUAGAGAACAAGUGAAGAAAGAUGGUCUGUUUCUUCUCUUGAUUAAACCAACACAAUUUAUUGUUUUUACAAAGCCAUCUAGAUCCUACACCCAGAGUCUGCAAAAUACUAGUAUUAAAUUGUAUGAAGCCUGUGUCAUUUUUAUUUUAAUACAAACUAGUUUAUACGUUCUUUCAAUCUAUUCGAAACUAAUUGGAAUGUCUUCCAAUAAUUUCGAAAUGAAAAAAGAAGAAGGUAAUUUUGAAUUUUUUUUGCAAUAUAUCUAACUAAAAAGUAAUUUUUAUUUUUGAUAUUUAAAAUUCAGAAAUUCAAGAAAAUUAGAAAAAUAUAACGGAGCUAUCUGAGACGCGCUACCUGAUGAACACCUCGCUUCUAAUUAUAUUGAUUGACUAGUUGAGAAGCCGCGCGUUGCGGCGAUCUAUUGAAAUUAUAUUAAUCAUUCAAAAUUAAUAUUUGUAGAAUAAAAUAAAUUUUAUGAUAUAAACAUCUCAAUGCAAUACAAAUAUUAAUAUGUAAAAUUGGACUAUAAUUCAUGAGUGAAAAAAUGAAACUAAGUCAAACAUGCACAGGUGUUUCCGGAUUUAUAAGCUGAAGCCACAAGGAGCUGAGAGGUAGAUGUCAUAUAAGCUUGAAGAUGUUAGAAAUGAAGUGAAGGAAGAUAGUUUGUUAUUACAGGUCUUUCCGGAUUCAACACCAGCAAGUCUGCAACUACUAAUAAACUAAACUACAGAAUGCCAGUUGAUAUUUAAUAUACAAAAGGUGAUUGUGAAGUUUUGGCUUUUUGGUGUAUGAUUGAUAUUGGCUUAUUAAACAAACCGGAGCCGGCGAAAACCAAGGCUUCAACAAACAUAAACAAAAAAAGAUGAUGUGUUUCUCUUGGUUAACUAACACAAUUUAUAGUAGUUUUUACAAGCCAUCUACAUCCUACACCUGCAAGUCUGCAGAAUACUAGUAUAAAAUUGUAGGAAUCCUGUAUCAUUUUUAUUUCAAUACAAAUUAUAAGUAGUUGCCUUUGUUUUGGCUUGUGCAGUCACACACCCAUAUAUUUAUAUUCGGGUUAGUUAGAAAUUAUAUAAAAUAUUGGGAAAAAGUAAUAAAAUGAUGGCGAUUAAUUAGUUUGUUAAUCACAGUAGUCUAUCAUGGAAAUGAAGAUAUUGAUGGAGUAUAUGCCGAUAUAAUAUAAAAGUAGAGAUUUCAUUAUAAUCAACUAUAUAUUAUUAAUUUAUAAUACAAAUUAGACUGAUAUAGUUAAUAUUUAAAAGUGUAUGAACAAACAAAACAUGAACUGACAAUUCAAACAAAAUGCAUGAUCUGAACAAACAAAACAUGAACAGACAAUUCAAACAAACGGUACCGAUAGAUCCCAAACAAACGCAUGCACAAAUCAGUGAUCAACAUUGAAUCACUCAUAACACAAUCUUAUUCCAUACUGAAUUAAAACGAAUAGUAGGAGAUCCUUCCGAAUAUAGGGUAGCUUUGUUUUCGAGGCACAUAGUCCAUAUAGUCGCUAACAGACCAGGAUCUGCAGGGAGGAAUAUUUUUUGGAUUGACUCAGACUUUCUCGCUUCCUGCAGCAAAUACAGCAAGUAGCAGGGUUGAUACUAUUGCAAGCUUGAUAAGAACAUCUUGGGGUGACAUUCUGAGAUCACGAGACUAGCAAUAGCUGACAAUUGGAGCACAAUUAGUAAAGUAACGUAGUUUUUUUUUUUGAUGUAGCUGAGAAUUUUAUUUUGCUUUUUAAUUAUUAUAUACCCAUUGUUAAUUCUGAAACUCGGUGAUUAAUUACGAUUAAUCUUUGUUUCAUAUUUCGUCGAACUCAUUAAAUCUCCAAUUAUUCAAUUAAUCAUCAGAUCAAUCUUCGAUCAAUCCAAUUCAUCUUCGAUUAAUCCUUAUUAAUCCCCAUGUAGUCACCGAUUAAGUCUAAUUCUUGCUUUUUAUAACCAUGUAUAUAUAUCAUAUAUAUAUAUAUAUAUGUUCACAAGAGAUACUAAUGAUUUAUGACGUCAUUUGUUCUAGUAUUUUUUUUAUUUUUUUAGUAAAAGCACUUGCAUUCAUUAAAUCAUAUCCAAACUCAGAUCAAGGAACUAAGGUGGAGUGACAUACCACUCCCCUUCGUCUGACAUAGAAUAGGCAGCUUUGGCAAGCCUAUGAGCUACCGUAUUCGCAGAACGAUAAAUAAAAACAACUAGCACUUGAUUUACGUGCUUAACUAACUGAAUACAAUUCAUCACAAUGGUACCAAAGAAAGCUUCUCCCUGCCCACCAUUACAUGCAGCAGCUAGAGCAGAUGAUGAUGUUAGAAUAUUAUGUCAGCUUAUUAGUAUUUUCAUUCAUUUUCUUUUUCUCCACGGGUGCCGGAGAAGAUGAAUUAAUUGUCACGGGGAAGUAAAAGGUUAUGCUAGUAGAAGAGUCGCACUUCAGACAAAUAUUCUCGGUUGUAUAGAUCUUUGUGCUAGUCCAUCAACAAUUAAAUCUCUGUUAAUUAAUAAUUGAUUAAUAAUAAUAUUGUAAAAAUAAUACUUUUUCCUGAUUUCAAUAAAAUUACUAUAACGAAGACAAUACUUCUAUAAAAUAAUAAAGUCGAUGAAUUAUAUUUUUCCUCUUCAUCCCAGUAUUAUUUACUUUAAAGAUCCACAACUUCUUAUAAACAUCCAAAGUGAGAUGGUGCCCUCCUACACUUGAGGUUGAACAAUGUGUUGAUAAAACAUGAUUAACUAAUAACACGUGAACUAGAGAUUUGUGGUCCCAACAUAAUGUUGACAGUACAUAUUUAACUUCGAUUGCCCUGACAUUAAUAAUUUGUACGUGGUCCGAACAUAAUGUUUGUGAAAACCGAUAUGUGCUUAAAAUUUCACCGGUGAAUGAUCACUACGAAAAUGUAGUGCAAUUCACACGGAGUCCUGAGAAACAGCAAAAACAUAAAAUGGAACCAACAAUGAUUUGUUGCAUGAUCAAAAUAAACAAAACAUGAACAGACAAACAGAAUGAACAAUUCCAAUCCCAAACAAAAGCAUGUAGAAAUCACAAUCAACAUUGAAUCAACUCAGAACACAAUCUUAAUUAUUUCACACUGAAUUAAAAUGAGUAGUACUAAAUUCUUCCAAAUGCCAGCUUUGCUUUCCAAGCACAUAAUCCAUAGAGUUGCUAGCAGACCAGGAUCUGUAGAGAGGAAAUUUUUUUGAUUGACGCGGACUUUCUGGCCUCCUGCAGCAAAUAUAGCGAGUAGUAUGGCAAAACAAGGGACGAUGAAACGAAUAAAUAAACACAAUAAAUGAAGAGUUUCACGUUGUAGAAAGACUGCAGAUCCAAAUAUUAUACAGAGCUAGAACUUACUAUUUGGUAGUUGCUCCAGUUACUCUUUGUCUCUCUUGUCUUUAUCCAUUUGCCUUAUGACUGUCGGAUUUUCUCCCAACAAACGUCUUUCAGCAUCGUACCACCCCCCACGUUGCAUUAAGGCCGAUCUAUCACCCCAAUAAUAUAUGGAAGUAAUACAGUUUUCAGGCAAAUUAGAAUCAGUGUGGGUUUCCUUGUGGUAAUAAUUGCAUGCAACAUGCUCUGCGAUAGAUUGAAAUCUCACAGCUUCACAUAUCAUCAGGGCCAACUUUAUAAUAUGUUUAGCGAAUUUUCUAUCUUCCUGAUCCAAUGAGGAGGCGGUGAGAUAAUUGACUGCUUUUAUGAAGGCUCGUCUGUUCAACUUUACCUUUGCCAAACGAUCCUUCACUCUUCUGAUUUCAUUGUCUACUUUAACACUUUGCUCUAUGAAUUUACGAUGCUGUCGCUCAGGGUUAUAAUCCUCUCGCGGCUCUUUUAAAUAAUUCAAAAAAUCUAGCGCUGCUUUGUCAUCAGCACCUAUAAGUUCUUUUACACGCUCAAGGGUAAUAUCUCUUGGCACCAUAGCUAACAAUGUGUCCACUCUUUUGAUCAAGUCUUUAUUAUCUUUUCCCUUCAGCCUUUCAAUUUGCUCUUUCAUUGCCUUCAAUUCUGUUACGGCGUCAGUUAUUUUUCUUUCUUUGUCUCUCCCUUUUCGUGCUAGAACCAUUUUCGACUUCUCUUCUUUCUCUGCACUCCGGUCUGCCUCUGGCUCAGAACCCUUAAAAGAUGGAUCAGAUAUGCCAAACAAUGCACUGUAUGAUGUACUCAGUUUAACUUCCUUUAGCGGGUCCGCUACACAAAAACACAAAGUCCAAAAUCAAAGAGAUGAAAAUCACGACGCAAAAUUAAAUCUGAACGAAAACUGGAUAUGACUUACUCGAUGGCGGAAACUUCUGGAAAGACUUAACAACUUCGCGAUGAUUUUUCCCAGUUAGAACAAUCCAGUAAUCAGCUUGCUCCGUUUCAGCAUUCACCGCUCCGUCUUCUUCUUUUUCUUUAUAUUUACCCUUGUACCCGACUAAGUAGAGAUUAUUUUUCUUUAUCAAAAUGUCCAAAUUGCGACAUUCAUGCUUUAACCUUACUUUGAGAAGCCAAUUCUUAUCCUUCAACUCCUCUAUACUACAGGUUCGUCGAACGCUUUCCUUUUGGCGAGUGCUUGCAGCAUUUCCAGGAAUUCCCGGAAAACAUUUUUCAAUUUUGGAUUUCAACUCUUUAUCAGCGCUCUCUUUAUCAAAGUUUCGAAGUUCUUUCUCUACAUCACAUGGCGGAAAUUCCUUAAUUAAGCUUUUGAUGAACUUUUCGUACUCAUCUUUUUCAUUUUUAUCAAGGUUUAGAGUAAGCGGUUCAUCAGAUGAAACCGCAGUGGGCUGAGAGGUAGAUGUCAUAUAAGCUUGAAGAUGUUAGCAAUAAAGUGAAGGGAGAUAGUUUGUUAUUACAGGUCUUUCCGGAUUUAACAACUGCAAGUCUUCAACUACUGAUAAACUUAAUAUAUAGAAUGCCAGUUGAUAUUUCAUAUACAAAAGGUGACUCUGAAGUUUUGGCUUUUUUGUUAAUAAACGAGGAAAAGAUGGUGUGAUCGAGAUUGGCUUAUUAUUAGUUACUAAAUAAACCGGAGCCGGGGAAACCAAGGCUUCAACAAACAUGAACAAAUGAAUACUAGUAUAAAAUUGUAGGAAUCCUGUAUCAUUUUUAUUUCAAUACAAAUUAUAAGUAGUUGCCUUUGUUUUGGGGUGCGCGGGCUGUUCAUACUGUCACACACCCAUGUAAUUUAUAUUUGGGUUAGUUAGAAAUUAUAUAAAAUAUUGGAAAAAAGUAAUAAAAUGAUGGCCAUUGAUUAUUUUGUUAAUCACAGAAGUCUGUCAUGGAAAUGAAGAUAUUGAUGGAGUAUGCGGAUAUAAUAUAAAAGCAGAGAUUUUAUUAUAAUCAACUAUUAUCAAUUAUAAUACAAAUGAGACUUAUAUAGUUAAUAUUUAGAAAAUAAUAACAAAAAUUGUGAAAUAAUAUUUUCUCAACCAAAUCUCAUAUAUAAGUUUCAAAAAUAAAAAUAGUCAAUAAAAAAAUUACAUUUUCCGAUUUCUCAUAUUAUGGUCCUUAAAUCGAAAAUCGGUACGAAAAAGCGUUUCUAACUUAUAAGCUGACAAGCCGCGCAAAAUACCAAAUAUAUUUUCAAAAUGCGGUCAUGUUUUAAUUAGUUAAAGUUAUACUAUCGACAUUGGCUCAUUGCAAUUUUGAAACCAUUCUUUUUGCAGCGGAAAACAUUGUGAACACUCGGUAUCCAAGUUAGGCAAAAUGUUCGACGUACUAGCCUGCAAGGUUUGUAUGCUAAACUUGCAUGUUCUCCAGGUGUAAGUAUUCACUUAUUACGCAUUUAGAGGAGGCAUUAUUAGUAUAAACUGAACACCUAUGCAAGCAAGUUGGACUCAUAGUUGCCAUGGACUAAGCACUACCCAAAAUGAGAUCUUUGCCCUUUGUUUUCAGCUAAUAACUACUUAGUUAUAGCAGAACCAGUGGAUGCAGUACGGUGUUCCAUGUUACUUAUACACAAAAAGGAGUAUAUAUAGCAUGUGUUUAUAUGUAUAUUAAUAUUAUCAUGUAUAUAAUGUGGCAAUAAAUAACUGUUUCAUCAGUGAAUACAAGUUCAUCGAGGAAAUCCUGGAUGAGGUUCAAAUUUAAAAUUUAUUUACCUAGAUUGAGUUUAACAAGUUAUGUCAGGGUACAAGGUAAAACUGAUUAGAAGGCUUAUAGAUUAGGAAGCAAAAGCCAAUUUAGACCUUUAUAAAAUACUUCCUUGACAACAACAAAAAAAUAUAUAGUUUGGGAAACGUACCUUCCUCGAUUAUAAUUUAAAUGCCCCAUGUCUCCAUUAUGAAUUAUUCUUACCCGUGUAUACGAAUAAGUCAAAAAUAAAAUAAAAUUAAUCAAUCCAAAAUACCUUUUCCUUGCACUAAAUUACAUUUUACAUUCUAAACUUUUAAUGGAUAUUUAUUUUUAUUAAAUUAGUAUUUGCCGAAGCAACUUUUUUAUAAGGGAAGAAUUGAAGAGAAAGUGCAAGUUUUGCUUUGUGCUCUCAGUCUUUUCCGUUGCUUGACAUGGGAAAAGAUUAACAUAUUGAUUCCUUAUCCAUGGAAUUAAUAUUUUAAUGUGUAAUGUAAUCUUCUAUAUAUGGUUGUUUAUGUUCAAAAGAACCAGUAUCCCUGUUAAAUCCUCAAAUCAUAUGUGGGUAUGUUAUUUAGUUGAGAUCGAGUGAUAAGAGUGGCCAUAUGCGUGUCAACCAUAAAAAUCAACCAGUUGCAGUAAGAUUCAGCAGCCCCUACGAAAUUAAAACUAAUAUGAUAAAUAGAAGUUAAUAUUAUAAUAAUAACGCUAUUGCUUACGUUAUUGUUGACAGAACCGAGGCCAUUGUGUUUAUGCCUAAAAUUCUUUGUCGAGAAUAUUUGAUUAUUUCCUUACAUUAGUUCAGGUACAACCAAAUCUAAUGUCUUCAAUGUGCCUUCUUCGGGGAUACUACCUACUGGACACUCAAAACAGUCAAUUCAAUGCGGCAGAUAUAUAUAGGUGAGACAAGCACUGCAGGUAACUUCUAAUGCCCUUGAUAUAUUUUAGCAUUUAUAAAACAGGCCAUUGUGUUUGCGUUAAUUCACAUGGGCAAGAUUAAUGUUUGUGGCAGUAGAACACUAUACGUUUUAGAGUAAUUGACACUUUGCAACUAUACGUUUUAGAGUAAUUGACACUUUGCAACCCACAAGUUUAAGCGGUUUUUGAUUUGGUCUCAAAUAAAUUUUUUUGUCAAUAUACACCAUAAUGUUUAAAAAGCGCUUCAAUAUGCACCCUUUUGACUAUUUUCCGUCAAGUUGACUGUUACAAUUAACGGCUGCAGGGGUAAAAUAGUAAUUAUGUAGACUUUCCUCUUCUAUUUUUUCCAUACAAAAUUAUUAUUUUACCCUUGCAGCCGUUAAUCUUAACAGUCAACUUGACGGAAAUAGUUAAAAGGGUGUAUAUUGAAACGCUUUUUAAACAUUAUGAUGCAUAUUGAUAAGAAAUUUUGUUUGGGACCAAAUCGAAAAAACGCUUAAACUUAUGGGGCGUAAAGUGUCAAUUACUCUAUGUUUUAUUUGAUACAUGAGGCACCCAACAUGGAAAUAGUAUCAUGUAUUAUAAUAGCGACACCGGGAUAUUAUAUAUACAUAGUGAAAAAGGGGAAUGGCGAAAAAAGUUGUGCAGCAACUUUGACUCUUGUGCCUAAAUUGCAUUUUAAUUUUAAAGGCACUCCAACUGACACUCAUUGGGGUCUCUAAGAAAAUUCAAACAAUAUUGAUGGUUGAAAGAUUAAAAUAUCCAUUUAACACAAUUCGAAAAUAUAGAAAAAUAGGGGUGUUUAAUUAGCAUCUUGGGAAAAAAAUGGAAUUCUAGCUAAUAUUAUGCGAUGCAUGUGCCAUGCCGUGUCUUGUAUUAUAUUAUGCACAGUAUUCUUUCUUUCUUUUUUUUGCUAAACUAUGCACAGUAUUCUUAAUAAACCAGUUGUACAAUUGAAAAUAAAAUAUAGGUUGUUGAGCAACUUCCCAGCAAAGGAUUUACCUAAUAUAAUGCAUUCUGUAUUGCAUAACGGUGACUUUUGACAGAGGGGACUUCGCAAGGGGAUUUCUCAUCUGGAGGUUCAAGCUUGAAAGAAGUUCCUGCCAUUAAUCAAGCAGAUGGAGGAACAACCGCUCCAAGUAUGUUUUUCAGGUAACUGGACAAGUAUAUCAUAACAUUGGAUCUUUGAUACCACCUGAUGGACGGACCCCGAAAUUUACACAAUUAUGUAUGAUGGAUGUGACUAUGUGAGGCAAAUGAGCAUGAUGCAUUAACGGAAAGUAGUUUCUUGAAAUCACAUUUCGCUUGACAUUGGAUAAAUUGAUGGAAAGAAGAACGAUGAGCGUAUUUGCUGCAUGUAUACAAGUUAAUUUUAUUGCUUACCAAAGUAAAAAUUUAAAAGUUUAGAAUUUCUUGGUUUAUAAACCGCGCAAGUUUAUGAUCAAGGAAAAAAUGUUUUUUUAUUACUCUAUGUCGCGAAGCUUUUGUUAUAGAUAUACUACGUCUCCUGAUGUUAAGAAGUUGGUAAAAAAAAGUUUGUCCCCCCUUAUGCAUUACUCUCUGCAUCCGCCACUGUGAGCAUCGGAUUAAUUUUACAGGGAAAAGGGGGGAGAGGGAAAAGGGGGGAGAUUGAUAGGCUGAUUAUUACAACUCUCGAUAGCAUGCUCAGUCGUAACAAUGUGCUAGUGGGAAUAUUCAGCCAAAUAAGACAACAAUUUAAAAAUGUGGUAGCUAUUCCUGUACGCUUGAAAUUGAGAGACGCACAACUGAGGCCGUUUUCAUAGUAAUCAGACUCAAGAUGAUUAUGAAAUUGAGCAUAUUCAUGUUGAAUGCAUUUGAAUUCGCAGGUCUUGCCAUAGAUAUCGACUUUUGCACAGUCAUUCAGAAUAAAGCAGUUGGAUUGCAGCAUAUUAGUGAUGAGCUGCAUAUAUCCCUGUUAUAUGUCCUUGCAAUAUCCCCUUCUAUUCUCGUUCGGUUUUUCCGAAUAACUUUAUUUAUAUAAAAAAAGGUUAAACAACAAUCCGUCGAUUUCAUGAUACAACGUUUCGAAUUAGCGUCUUGGGUCUUGCACGGGCUUUUAUACUAGUUUAUACUUAUUGCAUGACCAACUCAUCUCCCUCCAAUAAUUAUAAAAAUAAUAUAUUACUUUUAAGAUAUAGCUAACAAUUAUAACUAAUUGUAUUGGAGGAAAAACGUUAACGGCACAGAUUUAUGCAUAUUUAAUGGAAGUUGUACACACUAUUUUCGCGGGUUAAUAUAAUGGGGUGCGAUUUGAAUUAUUCAUAGUUGUUGUAAAAAAAUCGUUUUUGAACGAAAAAUAAUGGGAUAUGAUAUCAAUUACCUCUAAUGUGUUUCUCUUGGUUAAACUAAAUCAGUUUAUAGUUCUUACAAGUCAUCUUUAUUUAACUGGAAUUUUAAUGAAUUAAUAAUAAUUUUUAAAUUUUAAAAGAUUGUUUAUGAUUUUAAUUAUUCAAUAAAUUUAUAUUAAUUUAUAAAUUUAAUAAAUUAUAUCUUACUUUUAUAUUUCUACAAAUUUCUGAUAAAAUGUCAUAAAAAUUAUAAAUAAUAACUGAGAUAACGCAACUCCUACCAAUGAUGAGGCCGUUAAUGUUAGUGUUCGAACCUAACAGGGGGAACACAACACUAUCAUAUGUGUUCAACCUUGUUAAUAUCAACCGCACAAUGACAUGUUACUCCGUCGCUCAUUCUUAUACAACUUUUUUCAUUACUUGUCGCGUAUUUUAUGGAUUUUAUAUAAUAUAGUUCAAUAAUUUAUUACUAUAUUUUUUGUUUAUAUAUGAAUUAAAACAUAAAUAUUAUUUUUUAUUAGAAAAAAAUUUAAAAUUGAUUAAUAAAAAUAUAAAAAAUUCUUAGAAUACGUAUCAAGCCCUUCGAGUCAACGUAUACAACUCAAUGGUAAGUGUUCCACUCUUGCACAUUAAAAUGUAUGCAAAAAGUCAAGCGUCAUAUAAUAAAAGAGAGAGAGAGUAUAUUUCACACCAAAGUCUUCAAAAAAGCAUCAACAUGAAAUGGAAACAAUCAAACAAUGAUUUAUUGCAUGAUAUGAACAAACAGAACAUCUAACACGCAAUUCAAACAAAAACACGCACAAAUCACGGUGAUCAACAUUGAAUCAACUCAGAACACAAUCUUAUUCCACAGUGAAUUAAAACGAGUGGCAGGAGAUUCUUCCAAAUAUAUGUUAGCUUUAUUUUCGAGGCACAUAGUCCAUGUAGUCGCUAACAGACCAGGAUCUGCAGAGAGGAAUAUUUUUUAGUCAGAUUUCCUCGUCUCUUGCAGCAAAUACAGCAAAUAGCAGGGUAAUUACGAGGGAGGAUGAUAAGAAUGAAGAUUAUCAAAAUUAUACACAACUAGAACUUACUGUUUGAUAGGUACUCCAGUAGUUACUAUUUAAUUGCUUCUUCGUCAUCCAUGUCUUUGAAAACUGACGGAUCUUCUCCCUUCAUAGGUGUUUCACCAGCAUACACCCACCCACGUUGUCUAAAGGCCGAUCUACUACUCCAAUUAUACACGGAAGUAAUACAAUUUGCACACAGAAUAGCAGUGCCAUGGGUUUCAUCAUGGGUUUCAUCCAUGUGGUAAUUGUUUGCAACGUGCUUCUUAAUAUUUGGAAAUCACCGUUUUGUGGAAUUCAAUGUGGAAUCACCGUACUCGUUUUAAUUCAGUGUGGAAUAAGAUUGUGUUCUGAGUUGAUUCAAUGUUGAUCACCGUGAUGUGUGCGUGUGUUUGUUUGGGAUUGGAACCGUUUGUUUGAAUUGCGUGUUAGAUGUUUUGUUUGUUCAUAUCAUGCAAUAAAUCAUUGUUUGAUUUUUUUUUUGAAACAAAGGUGUUAAUCUCAUAAUAAAAGGUCAUACGGCAUCUACACCAAUGAUCGAGUCGAACAGACAGUAUAUUGCCAUCCCGUGAUCUGACAAUGAGACAGUUAAACGAUAUUUUGAAGAAAAUGUAUGUACAAAUACAAGUACCCGCUUCAUGCAUUCUCGUUGAAUUAUGAUCUACUUAUAAGCUAACUCUAACACACACAUGUAGUCGGGUUAUUCUAGAUGGUUAAUUAUAAUAGGGUUCACUGCUUAUAAGCUAAAUCAAACGGGCACAUAUAGUCGGGUUAUUCUUUAAUUAUAAUAUAGUCGGGGUGUCUUAAUUUUAGAGUCUGAGGCUAACGCUUAUCUGCACAAUCCACACAGAGUCUUGGGAAACAGCAACAACAUAAAAAUGGAAACAACAAUGAUUUGCUGCUAAACAAACAAAUACAAUCAAAAUAGACAAUUCCAAUCCCAAACGAAGACACACACAACUCACAAUCCCAAACAAAGACAUGCACAAAUCAACUCUUAACACAAUCCUAUUCCACACCAAAUUAAAAUGUGAUCGAGUCCUCCGUCUCCAAACAUAUACAAUUGAAUAAAACGGAUUAAGUAUUAUAUAUUUACUACUGAACCUCAAAUAGAUGAAAAUUUAAAACAUGAAUUUUAAAGCUUUCCAUUUAAAGAGUAAAGCUAAUCCAAGUAACAAUGACCGAGCAUUUACUCGUCUACCGUCAGCUCUUCAUUUAAAUUGGUAAGGCUGCAUUGGUAUAGGGGCCGUUUGGGUGAGUUUAAAAUAAGUGCUACUUGCUUAAAAUAAAAAAGUGAAGUAGAAGUUAGAAACAUGUAAAGACUUAUAAGUGAUUAAAGUGUUUGGGAAAGAAGUAGAAGUCCUGAAACAAAAGUUAGCAUUCCUAGCAUAUAAGUGCUUCUUGACUUAUUACACAAAUGGUACAAAUCUAACUUAUAAACCCAGAGAUUGGGCUUUUAAACGCUCGCCAAACACCCACAUAGUCUAGCCGACAUGCAUAUGUAUCAGCAUAUACGAAGUAUCUCAAAUUUGUGAUUAGUUUUGAGAUUUUGAAAUAUGAUUAAAUAAUAUGUUUAGAUAUAAAAAAAAAGGUUGGAUCUAAAUUUCAUUUCAAAUUCAGGACUUUUAAAUGUUACACUACACCAAUUCUGGCCAUUUACGACGGAUAUCUUACGACGGAAUAAGCGGAGCGCAAAACUUACGACGGAACACAAACAUUCGUCGUAUUUUCUCGUCAAUACUUACGACGUACCAACCUUCCAUCGUAUGUUUUGCUAGAAUUCAGCCGCGCCCUAAUAAAAAAAUAAUAAAUUUUUUCCCGCGAAAAAACCGUCGAAAUUUAACCGUCGUAAGUUAACAUAUCUACCUAAAUAAAGACAAAAAAUAAAUGAAAAUAAAGUAUUUUCUUUUCCGUCGUAAAUACGCCGUCGUAAGUUCAUAUAAUUAUAUAAUUAUAUCUAUUUUAAAAAUGAAAAAUAAAUGGAAAUUAUAAAUUUUAAUUUUUCGUCGUAAAUUAACCGUCGUAAGUUAACAUAUCUACCUGAUUAAAGAAGCAAAAUAAAUUAAAAUAAAGUGAUUUUCUUUUCCGUCGUAAAUAAGCCGUCGUAAGUUCAUAUAUUUAUAUAAUUAUAUCUGUUUUAAAAAAGGAAAAUAAAUAAGAAUUAUAAAUUUUAAUUUUUCGUCGUAAUUUAACCGUCGUAAGUUAACAUAUCUACCUAAAUAAAGACAAAAAAUAAAUGAAAAUAAAGUAUUUUCUUUUUCGUCGUAAAUAUGUCGUCGUAAGUUAACAUAUCUACCUAAUUAAAGGAAAAAAAUAAAUGAAAAUAAAUUGAUUUUCUCUUCCGUCGUAAAUAAGCCGUCGUAAGUUCAUAUAAUUAUAUAAGUAAAUCUGUUUUAAAAAAGAAAAAUAAAUGAGAAUUAUAAAUUUUAAUUUUUCGUCGUAAUUUAACCGUCGUAAGUUAACAUAUCUACCUAAAUAAAGACAAAAAAUAAAUGAAAAUAAUGUAUUUUCUUUUCCGUCGUAAAUACACCGUCGUAAGUUAACAUAUCUACCUAAUUAAAGACAAAAAAUAAAUGAAAAUAAAAUGAAUUUUGUUUCCGUCGUAAUAUAACCGUCGUAAGUUUACCUAACGCAUUAACUCCCACCUUCCCACAUUGAAAUCAAACGGCAGGAUAUUCAUUUUUAAACAGAACUUACGACGGAUACGAUAAUUCCGUCGUAACUUACCAUAUAUCCCUCAGAAGCUACUGCCUCUUUCUCCCCAACAUCAUUUCUAUAUGCUCCUAACCAGAACCAAAAAAUAUGCUCAUGAUCAAAUAAAUGUGAUAUAACAAAUUACACUCAACACUUGCAUCAAUCAUUCUUGUAAGUAUUUAUUUUCUAUCUUUCCAUUUAAAUUGUAGAAAUUUUGAUCUUCCAUAUUUUAUUUUGAUUAAUAUAAUUUUUCAAUAUUUGUAUGUGGGCUUGUGUGCAUAUUUAUAAUUGAAAUUUUGUUAUUUAUUAUUUAUAGAUGUCUCCGGAUCGUAGUUGGAUCACUAUGCGAAUAAAACCCGGUGGAUAUGGUUUUACGGAUGAAUAUAAUGAGGGGGUUAAAUAUUUUUUGGCAUUUGCGCGAAGCAAUUCUAGUAAGCCGAAUGAUCCGAAUCUUUUGAUUAAUUGUCCUUGCAAUACAUGUCGGAAUGCAUUAUACCAACUCAUUCCCGAUGUCGAGUUCCAUUUAUUUGCAACCGGUUUUCUUGAGAGUUAUACUAUAUGGUGCUUUCAUGGGGAAGCUAGUGCGUCAAGAAAUGAACAAAUGGAUGAUCGCGAACCUUUUUCCGUCGUAAGUAUGUAGGACCCACGAUGUAAAUACGACGGAUUUAUCCGUCAUAUAUUAUGGUCUAACAAAAUUGAGCAGUGGGGUCCACAUGGCUGAUCUUACGACGGAAGUGAUAACUUGUGACACAAUUUAAACUACCGACCAAUUUUUUAACUUCAGACGCCAGCAAAAACGACGGAAACUUUCCGUCGUAAAUGGUACUAUUUACGACGAAAUAGGCGGAAAAAAUCUGUCGUAAUUGGCCAAUAUUGGUGUAGUGUUAGUAUAAAAUUGAAAAUUUGAAAUGACACAUAAAAAUCAUAUAUUGAAAUCCAAAUUUUAAAAAGAAAUAUAUUUUUCCAAACACAAUCAUAUAUAAACACAAAUAUUUCAAAUUGAAUCGCUGGCAUGGACAAGUAAUACAACAGUACACAAUUCACACAAAGUCUUCAACCAAAGAUUUACUUGAUGACAUGAACAAGUAAUUGAACAAUACACAAUCCACACAAACUAAGACGUCAAAGAGAGCAGCAGUAUAAAAUGGACACAAUCAAACAACAAUGAUUUGUUGCAUGAUCUGAACAAACAAAACAUCAACACAAAAUUCAAAUAAACAGUUCUAAUCCUAAAAAGACGCAUGCACAAAUCACAAUCUCCAACAAUGAAUCGACUCAGAACACAAUCUUAUUCCACACUGAAUUAAAAUGAAUAGUAGGUAUUCUUCGAAAUAUAUGGUAGCUUUGUUUUCGAGGCACAUAGUAUAUAUAGUCGCUAAUAGACCCGGAUAUGCAGAGAGGAGUAUUUUUGGAUUGACGCAGAUUUUCUUGCCACCUGCAGCAAAUACAACAAGUAGCAGGGUAAACACGAGGGAGGAUGAAACGAAUAAAUAAACACAAGAAAUGAAGAGUAUCACCGUGAGAAAGACUGUGGAACCAAUUAUGCACAACUAGAACUUACUGUUUGAUAGUUGUUCCAGUUAUGUACAAAUUCUGUAUGCCUAGCACUCAUAUUCUUUUUCAUCCAUAUCCCUGAUGACUGCCGGAUCAUCUCCCAGAAGAAUUGUUUCACGAGCGUACACCCCCCCACGUUGCAUUAAGGCCGAUCUAUGACUCCAACUAUAUAUGGAAGUAAUACAUUCUUCAGAUAAAAAAGUAGUGACCUCAUGGGUUGUUUCGUGGUAAUUCUUUGCAACAUGCUUUUUGAUAUCUGGAAAUCUCGCAGCUUCACAUAUCAUUAUGGCCAACUUUAUAAUAUGUUCAGCGGUGUCGCUCUCGUUCUCACCAAAUGAGUCCUCGGUCGUCAGAUGCUCGACUGCUUCUGUGAAGGCUUCUCUGUUCAAAUUCACUGUUGCCAAACGAUCCUUCACAUCUUUGAUUUCAGCAUCUGCUCUAACUCUCUUCAUCAUCAAUUUAAAGACAUCAGACAUUUCUUUAAGUUCUUUAUGGAACUUAACCACCUUAGCCUUAUCCUCUGUGUUCACCGCUUUAUAUCGGCCUUUCAGUGUAGCUUUUUCUGAAAGAAAAACUUCCUGUAUUCCGUCAUCGGUGGGGUUCGUUUCUUGUGUUCCAUCAUCUAUAUUAAAUUUAUUUUUUAGCAUUCUUUUCAGCUUGAUCAGGGCUUCAUGUUCCUCUCUCCAGUCCUCUACCGUAUAUCCUUUCGUUCUCUUUCCCCAAACUAUUGUAUCCUUUUUUUCAGCAGUCAAGCUACCCAAGAUGACGACUAUCUUGUUGAACACCUUUCCCCACAAAAUUAUUGAUCUUUGAUUCCUAUAAAAAGUACAAAAAUUGUUUACAUAAAAAUAAAGUAAUCAAAAUUUUAAUUAAAAAAAAAAAACCGAGAGAGUACCAUCACAGUUUAAGAACAAAACUAAAAGCAGUACCUCUGGUUUUCACUUGCCUCAGCUUCGUUCGGCGCCUGCCCCUGUUGAUUAUUAUUUUCAUAUUCUUUCUUCAGCUUUUCUAUUAGCUUUCCCAAAAGGAUAUGAUCCUCUUGCGGCUUUUUUACAUGAUUCAAAAAAUCUCGCGCUGCCUUGUCAUCACCCUCAAGUUCUUCUUCUAAACACUCACGAGUAAUAUCUUCUGUCACCAUUUUUAACAAGCUGUUAACUCUUUUGUAAUCUUCAGUCUCCUCCGGGUUUUCAUAUUUUUUAUAAUGGCUUUCAAUAUUCGAUUUUAUUUUCUUCAAUUUCUUGGUGGCGUAAUUUAUUUUUCUAUGUUCUUCUCGCUUUGCUAGUCCUUUGAAGCCUCCCAACUUCUUUAUCAAAUUUUCAUACAGUUCUGACUCUGGCACAGAAUCAUAAAAUGACGGAACAGAUUUACCAAACAAUGCAGUGUAUGAUGUACCCAGUUUAACCUUCUUUAGCGAGUCUGCAAUACAAAAACAAAAAGUCCAAAAUUAAAGAGAUGAAAAUCACGACGCAAAAUCAAAUCUGAGCCAAAACUGUGUAUGACUUACUCGGUGUCAGGAAGUUGCUGACAGACUCAGCAACUUGGAGAUGGUUUUUCCCAUCUAGAACAAUCCAGCAGUUUUCAGCACUCACUGUUCCAUUUUCUUGUUUAUAAUUACCCUUGUACCCGACUAAGUAGAGAUUAUUUUUCUUUAUCAAAAUCUCCAAAUCACGAUCGCCAUGCUUUAACCUUAACUGGAAAAGCCAAUUCUCAUUCUUCAAUUCCUCUCCCUUAAAUGUUCGUCGAGCGCUGUCCCCACAUUCCCUUGCAUCAGUGUAAUGACGAAACGUUGGCUUGAAACAAUUAUUAAUUUUCCGUCCCAACUCUUCAUCAAAGCACUUGUCAUCAUCAACUCUUUCAGGAUCUUUUUUUAUAUAACAUUCUGGAAAUUUCUCAAUUAAGCUUUGGAUGAACUUUUCGUACUCAGCUUUUUCUAUGUUAUCAAGGUUUAGAGUAAGCGGUUCAUCAAAUGAAGCCGCAGUGGGCUGAGAGGUCGAUGUCAUAUAAGCUUGAAGAGAUGUUAGAAACGAAGUGAGGGAAGAUAGUUUGUUAUUACAGGUCUUUCGGGAUUCAACACCAGCAAAUCUGCAACUACUAAUAAACUAAACUAUAGAAUGCCAGUUGAUAUUUAAUAUACUAAAGGUGAUUGUGAAGUUUUGGCUUUUUGGUGUAUGAUUGAUAUUGGAUUAUUAAACAAACCGGAGCCGGCGAAACCAAGGCUUUAACAAACAUAAACAAAAAAAGAUGAUGUGUUUCUCUUGGUUAACUAACAUAAUUUAUAGUUUUUACAAGCCAUCUAGAUCCUAUACCUGCAAGUCUGCAGAAUACUACAACUUACUGUUUGGUAAUUGCUCCAAUUACUCUAAAUCUGAUUUUUGUUUUUUCGUUUCCUGGUUGACUGCCGGAUCUUCUCAAAUCAAAAUUAUUUCACCAGCAUACACCCCCCACGUUGCAUUAAGGCCGAUCUAUAACUCCAAUUAUACACGGAAGUAAUACAUUCUUCAGACAAAGAAGCAGUGACAUCAUGGGUUGUUUUGUGGUAAUUGUUUGCAACAUGCUUUUUGAUAUCUGGAGAUCUCGCAACUUCACAUAUCAUCAGAGCCAACUUUAUAAUAUGAUUAGCGAUUUGUCCCUCGUCCUCACCAAAUCAUUCAUGAGGACUUGGUGAGAUAGUCGACUGCUUCUGUGAAUUAGACUAGUCUGUUCAACUUCACAUGUGCCAUAAGUUCCUUCACUCUUAUGAUUCCAGCAUCUACUUUAACACUCUGCAUCAUGAAUUCCAAGACUGCAUACAUUUCUUUAAGCUCUUUGUAGAACUUAGCCUGAUCCUCUUUCUUCACCGCUUUAUAUAGAGAUCUUUCAGUGUGUUUUUUUUUUGACAAUAAAUCUUCCAAUAUUUCCUCAUGGGUGGUGGCCCUCGUUUUUGGUAUUUUACUAGUCCCAUUUUUUUUUUUUGAGCAUUCUUAUCAGCUUAAUCACACAUUAAGUUCCUUUUUCAGGUCUGCUACACUUUUUUUACUCAUUUUCUCUUCCCAAUAUGCUGUAUUCAUUUUUCCAGUAGUCAAGCUACCCAAGAUGAAGACUAUCUUCUUCACACCUCUCCCCACAAAAUAAGCGAUUCUUGGGACAAUGGGUUUCUUAUAUAAACUAGUUUACAGAAAAAUAAAGUAAUCAAAAUUUUAAUUAAUUAAUAAACCGAGAGAGUACAUUCACAGUUUAAGAACAAAACUCAAAGGAGUACCUCUGGUUUUCGCAUGCCUCUGCUUCGUUGGGCACCUGCCCUUGUUGAUUAUAUUUAUCAUCUUUUUUCUGCAGCUCUUGUAUUAGCUUUCCCACACGGAUAUGAUCCUCUCGCGGCUUUUUUAAAUGAUUCAAAAAAUCUCGCGCUGCUUUGUUGUCAUCACCCUCAAGUUCUUCUACACGCUCACGGAUAAUAUUUAUUGGCACCAUAUCUAACAAGCUGUUAACUCUUUUGGAAUCAUCAAUUACCUUCAGGCUUCCAUAUAUUUUUAUUCUCCUUUCACACUGCUCACUGUUUUCUUCCUUUCGUGUUUCAAUAUUCAAUUUUAUAUCCCCCAAUUUUGAUUUGGCGUAUUUUAUGUUUCUCUCUUCUUCUCACUCUACUCGUGCUUUAAACUUUUUCAACUUGUCUUUCAUCUUUUAAUACAGGUCUGACUUUGGCGCAUAAUUGUUAAAUGACGGAUCAGAUUUCCCAAACAAUGCACUAUAUGAUGUACUCAGUUUAACUGCCUUUAGCGAGUCUGCAAUACAAAAACAAAAGGCCAAAAUUAAAGAGAUGAAAAUCAAAACUAAACCAAAACUGGAUACGACUUACUCGAUGGCAGGAACUUCCUGACAGACUCAGCAACUUAACAAUGAUUUUUCCCUUUUAGAACAAUCCAUAGUUCAGCACUCACCGUUCCAUCGUCUAUUCGUCUUCUUUAUAUUUACCCUGUGCCCGACUAAGUAGAGAUUAUUUUUCUUUAUCAAAAUGUCCAAAUCGUGAUCCCAUGCUUUAACCUUACUUGGAAAAGUGAAAACCCAAUUUUUUUCUGCAACUCCUUUGGUUUAUAGGUUCGUGAAACGCUUUUCUUGUCAGUGGCCUCACCUUCCAUGCUUGCAGCAGUUUUAUCAAACAUGUCCAGGAAACAUUUUUCAAUUUUUAGUUUUAACUCUUCAUCAAGGCUUCGAAGAGAUUUCGCUACAGAACAUUCCGGAAAUUUCUUAAUUAAGCUUUCGAUGAACUCUUCGUACUCAGUUUUGUAUUAAAGAAUUGGAUUAUAAGUGAAAAGUUAAUUUGUAUUUAUAAGUUAUUAAAAGUGUUUGGGUACCGUGACUUAUAAGUCAAGUAUUUCUAUUAGAAGAAGCUGCAACCUAAAAAAAAAAAAAGCUAGCUUUCCUUUCUUUUUUUUUGGGCUUCUUUAGCCUCAGUAUAAGCGCUUCUAUUAAUGUGCCAAACAGUCUCAUUUAAUCAGAAGCUUGCUUCUAUAUAGAAAAAGCCUAGAAGCCAGCUAGCCAAACACCCACAGUUUGUCAUUACAGGUCUUUCCGGAUUCAACACCUGCAAGUCUGCAACUACUAAUAAACUAAUACUCCCUCUGUCCCCCUAGGUAGUUUACCUUCGGGGACGAGAGUUUGACACACAUUCUAAUACUCCUAGAAAACAUAGUUCCAUAACUUAUUUUUAAUCUUUUUUCUUUUGAACAAAAAUUUUAUGUUUGAAUUUUUAAACACAAAGAGAAAAUCUCAAAAAUAAGUUAAAUACUAUGUUAUAUAAGAACCUUAAAAUGCGUGUCAAGCAGUGCAAAAAACUAUAAAGAAAUGAGAGGGACGGAGGAAAUAUAUAGAAUGCCAGUUGGUAUUUAAUAUAUAGUAUGAUUGAGAUUGUGUGCCCAUGGGCACACCAUAGAAAAACCGUAUUACAAAAACCGGAGCCCGGGAAACUAAGGCUUCAACAAAAAUAAACAAAUGAAUAAAGAUAAUGGUAAGUUGUUUUGGUUCACACACGUACAUAGUCGGGUUAUUCUCGACUGUUAAUUAUAAUAUAGUCAGGUUGUCUUAAUUUUAGGGUUCGAGGCAAACGCUGGUUUGCACAAUCCACACAUAUAUAGUCUUGAGAAACAACAACAUAAAAUGGAAACAACAAUGGUUUGCUGCAUGAGCUAAACAGACAACACAUGAACAUAUAAUCAAAAAGACAAUUCCAAUCCCAAACAAAGAUAUGCACAAAUCACAAUCCCAAACAAAGACCUGACAAAUCAACUCAGAAGACAAUCUUAUUCCACACUGAAUCAAAAGUAGUAUGAGAUUCUUCUGCAUGCCAUCUUUGCUUUCCAGACAAGUAGUCCAUAGAGUCGGGUUGUCUCAAUUUUAGGGUCUGAGGCUAACGCUGUUAAUUAUAACUCUUUACCUAAUCCCUUCCACUCUCUUGCUCUGCUAACUGUAACCGCCUUCAUUAAAUCUUCCAACCCGAAAUCUCUUUCACCCUUGUAACUCCACCCACGUACCAUUACGCCUGAUAUAUCACUCCACAUAUUUAUCAGAGCAACAUUUUUAUCACUCAAUUUAGAGCCUAAUUCAAGUGUGUAACUGCGUUUAAUGUGCUCUGCAAUUGGUUCAAAUCUCGUAGCUUCACAUAUCAUCACCACUAAAUGAGUAAUAUGUUUAGCGAAAUCUUUUUGAUCAUCCUCAUCAAAUGGAUACUGAGUGAGAUGCUCAAAUGCGCGUACUAAGGCAUGUCUGUUCAAUUCAAAUUCUUUGAUCUUUUCAUUUUGUACCCUGCAGCUGGCACCAAUUCCAAGAGCCUUCAUCUGAUUUUCCAAGACGUGUCUAAUCUUUUCCAGCUUUUCAUAGAAGUCAUACAGAUCUGUAGCCAUCAUCACUUCCCUAUAUGAAUCUAUGAUGCCCCUAUCUAAUUUGGCGGCUUUAUCCGUUUCCAGCAGCUGACCACAUUCCUCUUCCAACUCUUCCGUAAGUAUCUUUUUAAUCUCUCCAGUAGAACCAUCUUCCUGGGGAAUUACUUUUUCAAGUAAUUUUAUCAGCCUAAUCUUUUCAGGGAGAUCUUUUUUUAGCUCUUCUUCUGUUUUCCCUUCCCUUUUCCUCUUCUUCUUUUCUUUCUCCUUCCUUUUUAGCAUAUCUUUGUUUGUCUCUCCGGUUUUCGUUUCUAUUAUUAUUUCAUAACCCAAGGAACUUAAGAUUUUGACUGCCUCUCGGAUCUCCGUUUCCCAUGGAAUGAGCGAUUGAUUGAAGUCACUAAAAAGAAUAUUUGCAUAAAAGAAAGUAAAAAUAAUUCUCACCUCAUGUGUGAUUCUGUAGUAGUAAUUAGUUCUUUAAAAUGAACUAUAAAGCAUCUGUAUAAAUAUGUAAACUUGCCUUUCUUGUUUUUCCUCAUCUGUUCCAUUCUGCCUUUGGCUGAGAAAAAGCUUAUGUUUCACUUCCAGCAUUUUUACAAGCUUUUCCAUGGCAUCCCUAUCUGAUAUCCCUCUUAGCUUUUGAAAUCUCUGUCGCCAAAAUUUCUUAAACUCUUCGGCCUUUUUGUCACCCGCAGGUUCACUCGUCUCCAAGGAAUAAUUUCUUUUUCUCAGCCACUCUAACAAGUACUCUGCUCUUUUGUACUGAUCCACUAGUUCCUCAUCUGGAAUUAACCAUUCCCAAUUUGACUCAAGUUCCUCUCCCAGCAUAGUUUCUUUUAUCGUUUUUGCCAUAUCCGUUUUCAGUUUUUGUAGUAUUCCAACAAUGUAGUCUGUUUUCUCAUCUCCAUUUAACAUUUUCAAUCUACCUGUCAAUCUCUUGUACAGGUUUUUGGCCAGUGCCUUUUGCUUCUUUGUUUCUAACUCCGAAUCAAAUGGGCUCAACAAUGAAAAAUAUGAUGAACCCAAUUUAACUUCUUUAUACUUAUCUGCAAAUACAAAAAACAAACUCCAAAUUAGGGGAUGUAUUCAAUUGGAAUUUUAAAUUAUGCUACAAAAUCUGGUGGUAUUCAAUCGGGAUUUUAAAUUAUACUUUAAAAUCUGACGGUAUUCAUUUGAGAUUGUUUAAAACUCAUUAAAAUCUGAUGGUAUUCAAAUACUAAUGGUAUUCAAAUACUAAUGGAUUUUGUUGGACUUCAUGAAAUGGUGGCUUUUGUAGAAUUGUUCAGUGUAUUUUAAGUUUUUGAAAUCUAACCAAAAUCCAUGAGAUUUUGUAACACUUUGCUUAAAUCCUAAAAAAUCUAUAUCAACUCUGCGACAUUUUAACAAGAAUCCGCACAAAAUCAAAAUAGAAUACAUCAAUCUAUUAAAAUCCAUAGACUAAGAUCAAUCCAUUUAAAUUCAUAGACUAAAAACAUUCCAUUAAAAUUCACAUAGACUAAAAACAAUCCAUUAAAAUCUACAAAUAAAAUUAGGAUGCAAAAUCAGACCUGGACCAAGAAUGUCGUAUAUUACUUACCGGGAGUUAGAAAUUCCUCAACAAACUGAACAGCUGCCUUACAACACCCCCCGCUUAGAAUAAUCCAGUAAUCAGCAUUGUCAUCUAUCUUCGCCUUGUCAUCUGGAUUCAGCAUAGCUUCUUCCUCCUUCAAUUUAUAUUUCCACUUGUACCCGACUAAAUACAAACUACUUUUUUGUAUCAAAAUGUCCAAAAUGUGUUGGUCAUAAGUUAACCUUACUUGAAAAAACUUUUCACUAGCAGGGAUUUCCGCUUCAAGUGGGGUUUGUGCACGAGGAUCUUCACCGCAGUUGUCGUCCAUGUCAUCGAGCUUUGGAAGAUUCCAUCCGUCGAAACAUAAACCGAUUUGGUCAUUCAUUUCUUUAAAUAUUUCAGUUUCUCGUGGCACAUGCUUGCCUACGGUGUCACAAAGUCUCUGUCUUUUUUCUUGUGGAUUAUAUAUAUUGACAAUGCCUUUGAUGAACUCACCGUAAGCAUCACCUUCGAGUUUGUUAAGAUCUAGAUGAACCCGCAGCUCAUCUUUACCAGAUGAACCCGCAGCAUCAGGAUUGGUAUUUCUGUCCAUAUAAGCUUUGAAAAUGUUGGAAAAGAAGACUCUAACCCUAGCACCGCGGCACCUUCUAUAAACCCGAACCGAAUCCAAACGCUUUCCUUUUUCUUUUCUCUUCUCCUACCACCUAACAGGGCUGAGCAAACGGUACCGAACUUGUCUUUCAAACCGAACCGAAUUCGGUUCGAUUAAAGGAAAAUCGAACUUUAAAAAAAAUUGGAUGUUGAAUAGUUGAAUAGUUGGACGCCGCGCAGGGCUGCUCGGCGGAGCUCUGGAGGCGCGCAGGGCUGCGGUUUGUUCAACACCUGCAAGUCUGCAACUACUAAUAAACUGACGGUUUUUCUAUCUAGUAUAAGUUUGGUGGUUUUUGAUUGGCUCAUACUUCUUUAUAACGGUGGACCCUCCUGUGAAUUCACCAACCACACCAAUCAAAAUCCACCAAAAUUGCAGAAUUUGGUGCUUACCAUGUGCACAUGAGCACACACUAGACAAACCCAUAAACUAAUAUACAGAUUAAUGCAUGCCAGUUGAUAUUUAAUAUACAAAAGGUGAUUGUGAAGUUUUGGCUUUUUGGUUAAUAAACGAGGACACGACCGUAUGAUUGAAAUUGGCUUAUUAAACAAACCGGAGCCAGCGGAAACCAAGGCUUCAACAAACAUAAACAAAUGAAUAAAGAUAAUGGUAGGUUGUUUUGGUUCACUGCUAAGUGCUAAUAAGCUAACUCAGACACACACGUAUAUAUAGUCGGGUUAUUCUCGACUGUUAAUUGUAAUAUAGUCGGGUUGUCUUAAUUUAGGGUCUGAGGCUAAGGCUGGUCUGCACAAUCCACACACAUAUAACAUAUAAGUAACACAAAUGAAGUGAGGAAGGAUGGUGUGUUUCUGUUGGUUAAACUAACACAAUUUAUAGUUUUUACAAGCCAUCUAGAUCCUGCACCUGCAAGUCUGCAGAAUACUAGUAUAAAAUUGUAGGAAUCCUGUAUCAUUUUUAUUCCAAUACAAAUUAUAAGUAGUUGCCUUUCCAAAUUUCCAGAUUUUUUUGAAGUUUUAAAUUUUCAAAAUCGAAUAAAAAACGAAUUUUUAUAUUUUUUUUCAAUGUUUUUUAUUUUUUUUACAUUUUUCAAGAAUUCCAUUAAAAUCAACUGAUACUUAACAGCGCAGUGAUCUAAAUGCAAGUUUUUAUUAGUUAAGUGAGUUGACUGCAAGUUAAAUAUUGUUUUGCAAGUUAGUCAUGAGUUCAUUAAUAUUUUUGCCUAUUAACCCUUAUUUCUUCAAAAGAGGAUCUAAAAUAUUAACAAUUACAUGGAUUUUGAUUAAUAUACAUUAAUUUAACUUGUUUGAUUAAUUAAUCAAUUUAUUAGAAAAAACUUAUUUAAACAAAUAUAAAUCAACCUAGCCUGUUUGCUUUAACUUUAAGUGUUUAUUGCUAAUUAGUGAGAAGUUAUUUACAAGUGAAAGAUAAUCUUUUCGAUUUUUUUUGUUUGCACAUAAAAAUUACUCUCAAAUAUAAUAAUAAAACAUUAGAAAUUAUCUUCUAAAAUUGUCUUUUAUAUUUUUGUGAAAUAAAAAUUUUAAAACAAAAAUAAGAGCAUUAAAAUAAGUUAGCAUUUUGAAUUUUUGAUGUUCUGCAUCCUUUGGACUUUUAAGCCCAACCUAACAACACUAUAAUCAUUAUAAUUAGUUUUUUAACAAUACACUAAUAAAAAUAUUAAUAUAGUAAUCAUAUCUUUAUAAUUUAUUUUAUUUAGAUAUAUUCUUAAAAAUAAUUAACAAUUUAAAACCUAUUUUAAUUCAGAUAUACAUACUAUUAUAACAAAAAUCUCUCUACAUCUCAAAUAGUGAGAUCAGAGAAGACUUUCAUUUUACCCAAGUUGUAGCUCAAAGACCCUUGAGCAAUAGUUGCCAUGUUCGUCAAGAGUGGAGUUGUUCUCGCAAGACUUGUUUGAGAUUAAGCCUCUAUAGUUGUAUAUAUAGUUGUAAGUCCUUGUUCCCUUUUUUUUUUUUUUUUUUUUUAAAUGAGAAUAAAUCUCACAAAUAUGAACCGUCAAUUAAUUGUGAUAAUUCUUUCAUUCAAGAAAACUUAUUAUCUAACCGUCAGACAUGCAAGAUGACCGGAGAAAUUUAAACAAUAAAACUUUAAUGUCCGAAAAGAAAAAUCCGUCUUCUUCCAAGAAUUCUGAAAAUAAAACAAAGAAAACAAGAACAAUAUAAGUCAAUAUAUAACAAAUUAUAUAUAUUAUAAAAAUAAAAAAUAUAUCCAAUAAUUAAUUAUUAAUAAAAUCACGUGUAUAUACAUGUGGUGAUCAAAAUAUUCACACAAUUAUGAUAACUCAUAAUUGAGACAAUUAAACUUCAACUCGAGGCAUAUCCUUUUCCCCAUGUAAAUCUCAUUUGGUAUACCAUUACAUAAUCCCAUGAAGAUACAAAUCAACUUUCACACCACUAAAAUCUUUGAAAUACCUAUUUUUACACUUUUGACAUGGACAUCUCAUAAGGCCUUCAUCUUCAUCUUUAAGAUUAUCACAAACAAAUUUAAGAAAACUAUCCACACCAUUCUUGUAUCCUCCCGUUAUAUAUUGUAUCGACUAUGACCAACCUAACUACGAUCGGAUCAUGUCAUCUACAACAUAUACACACAAUUCAAUAUAAAUGCAAAUAAAAUAAAAUCACAAAAUUAUAAUUAACUCAUACCUAAAAUGUAUACUAAUACGCACAAUUAUACUAAUUUCAUCAUACAUGAGUAACAUCAAACAUUUAUACAAAUUUCACAAACAACUAGUAAAAUUUAGAUUGUAUACAUUUAUACAAUCAAACAUUCUAAACAAUACACUAUAUAAUAUAUACUCAUGUAUGAUGUUUGUGAAACAUUUAUACUAAUUUAGAUUUCUAAACAACUAGUAAAGUUUAGAUUGUAUAAACAACUAGUAAAGUUUAGAUUGUAUCAUACUAGAAUAUGAUAUUUACUUGAUGAUCUCAAAGAUUUGAUGAGAAGAAUAUAAUAUAUAUGAUGGCAUGAAAAAAGAAAAAUGGUGGAAAAGGGAGAAUAGAAGAGAGAAAGGAAAAGAAAUGAGAAAGGAAAAGCGGCAUGAAUGGGCAGUAGGUAUGCAAUCUGGGAAGGGUAAGAAUGACCGGUCCCGGUCAAAAUUAUAUACCUCACUGAAAAUGGUCAAAUAAAUAUAAACGAAUACAGCCAGUCAAUUUUAUAAUUUUCACCCUUCGGGAGUCGAACCUGUGAUCAAGAGGAUACAAGUCCCCUCUUUAACCAACUGAACCAACCCUUGCGGGCGUCUAUUUUAGCCUUGACUUGAUGACAUGCGAGUUUGACCUUAAAUGUGACUGCGUUCGGUCAAAAAUAAUCGGUGAAAAAUACCCGGUUUUUCUUGUAGUGGAUUUUAAACUCUCAAACUUACCACGUUAAGUCAUAAAUUAAAAUUUUAAACUCCGUCAAACAAGCUUCUAUUUUAUUUGAAUAUAUUUCAAGAAUAUUAAUAAUUUUAGUUUUAAAAAAAGGAAUAUAAAUAAUUUGGAAAAGGUACAUAACCUACUCAAUAUCUUAAAAUAUCAUUCCUGCUCAUUUCUCCAUGCUCCUUCACAUUUCUUGAUACUUUCACCAAAAUUAUUAUAAAUAUGGGUAUCGAUCUUGAACCAAAAUUUUGUUUUUAAAAACAUCUUUAAUGUAUAUAUGAACAAACAUAAAGGCCAAAAGAUUUGAGAUUGAGACCUUAUAUGUUCGACUAUGAAAAAGACGAAUAGACGAAUAGACAAGUAACAUAUAUGUUUGUUUUAAAAUAGAUGAACAUUAUGUUGACAUGUUUUCCUUCACGUCGACUUAUUAAAAUUUUCAUUAUUUGUUGGAUGAUUUUCGGGACGAACAAGACUGUUUGUGUAGUUCCCAUAUUUUUAUAAAUAUUAAUUCUAAAAAUAUAAAUAGAAUAUAUUUACAUAUUAUUUUAAAUAGUUAAAAUUAUAAUUUAUUUUAAAAAUAUAAAUAAAGUAUAUUAUUAUAUUAUAUUAUAUUUUGGUUAAAAAAUAUAAUUUAUUUUAAAAUAUAGAUUUGAAAUUAUUCACAUAUAUCUUUUUCUGAACUUUUUUGAUUUGCUUUUGUCUACGGCUAUUAACGAACCGAACUGUUCGCUAACAAGCUCGAGCUCGGCUCGUUAAGAGCUCGUUCGGCUCGUUAAGUUAACGAGCUCGAGCUCGAACACAAAAAUGUAUUCGUUAAGAAAACGAGCUCGAGCCGAGCUUUUAGUAUGUUCGGCUCGAGCUCGGCUCGUUAAAACUCGAAAAAUUGUAAUUUUUCUAAUUUUUUAUAAUACAUAUAUAUGUUAUUGAACUCAUAGAAACAUAUGAUAUAUCUAUAAAUUUUAGUGAUGUAACCAAAGUUUCGAGAAAUAAUAAUUUUAUUUGAUUUGCUAUUUUAACAGUCAAGUAGAAGUUUGACUAGUGUCGCUAACUAGUGUUUAACCCUAAUUUAGUGUUUUGAUAUUUUAAAAAAUAUUUUUUAUCGAUUCAACUGUAUGGAUGUUAACAUAUAUACAUUUUAUUGAAAUAACUAAAAUUUCAAAAAAGAAUACUCCCUUCGUCCCCCUGAAUAGUAUACAUUGGUGGACGGGGACGCGACACGGACUUUAAUGCUCCUGUAAAGUGUAGUUGUGUAAUUUAUUUUUAAAAUUUUCUUUUUCUGAAUUAAAGUUUGGAUGUUAUAUUUUUAUUCAGAAAAAAAAAUCUAAAAAAUAAGUUACGUAACUAUAUUUUAUAAGAGCAUUGAAAUGUGUGUCGAGCAGUUUAAAAGAAACGUAUACAAUUAAAUGGGACAGAGGGAGUAUUAUUUGGUUAUCUAUUUUAAGAGUCAACUCGCGGUUUAUCCUUCUUUUUUUUUUCUGGCUCGGUUCGGCACGGUUCGACUCGGCUCGACUUGUAUUUGUUCGUGAACAAGCACGUGUUCGGCUCGUUUGUUAACGAGCUCAAGCUUGAACACAAUUUUUGUUCGUUAACAAAGCUCGGCUCAACAGAAAAAAUAUUUAAAGCUCGGCUCGACGCGGCAAAAACUCAACUCGUCUCGGCUCGGUUCGUGACCAGUUGAGUGACUGCUAGACCGAGACCGUUACUGCACAUUGUAGAAUGUAGCUCAAUAAUUGCAUUUACAACCUACUCAAUUUCUCAGCAUCCCAUUUCUGCACAUUGUGUAGCUCAGAGAAGCUUCAGCAAUGGCUGUCAACAGAGGAGCUCUUCUCAUAAUGACUUGUUUCAGCUUAAGGCCUCUGAGUGUAAGACCUUGUCCUCUUUUAUCGUCUCUUUUUCAUUCUCAUUUUCUUCCUUUCUCUACUAAACCUAACCCUAAUUCACAAGUUAAACCCCCCUUUAUUCCUUCUCCAUCCACCACUCAUCCCGAACUUAAACAAUUACUCUAUCAUAAGUCCGAAGUUGGUUUCGACAAACUCGACAAUGCUCUUCUUGUGUUCGAUGAAAUGCUCCUUCUGAAAUCUAAGCUUUCUGUUCUGCAAUUCAACCAACUGUUAGCCGCCCUCGUUCGGAUGAAAGAAUACUCUGUUGCCGUCUCUAUGUUUAGAGAAUUCCGUGUUUUAAGCAUUCCUGUUGACAUUGUUACCUUUACUACUGCCAUCCAUUCCUGUUGUCACUUGAAUACACUUGAUUAUGCCUUUUCGUUGCUUGCUGGAAUCAUCAAGAGUGGUUGGAUGCCCGAUGCCUUUACCUACAACACUCUCAUCAAGGGCCUUCUAUCUCAAGACAGGCCUUUGGAGGCUGGGGAUUUGUUUAAUAAGCUUAUCACAUUUCAAGAAAUUCAGCCCAAUUUAGUUACGUAUAGC
RNAcentral lists this long non-coding RNA (35346 nucleotides) under Daucus carota (carrot). RNAcentral describes it as "long non-coding RNA (DCAR_LNC005983)". The record is from RNAcentral. Lineage: Eukaryota; Viridiplantae; Streptophyta; Magnoliopsida; Apiales; Apiaceae.